RNAcentral lists this ribosomal RNA (244 nucleotides) under uncultured Actinomycetales bacterium. Its description in RNAcentral is "partial 16S ribosomal RNA". It matches the Rfam family "Bacterial small subunit ribosomal RNA", at positions 89 to 334 of the family's 1533-position model. The record is from RNAcentral. Lineage: Bacteria; Bacillati; Actinomycetota; Actinomycetes; Actinomycetales.
ACGUUAGCGGCGGACGGGUGAGUAACACGUGGAUAACCUACCUAUAAGACUGGGAUAACUUCAGGAAACUGGGGCUAAUACCGGAUAGGAGCUCCUGCUGCAUGGUGGGGGUUGGAAAGUUUCGGCGGUUGGGGAUGGACUCGCGGCUUAGCAGCUUGUUGGUGGGGUAGUGGCUCACCAAGGCUUUGACGGGUAGCCGGCCUGAGAGGGUGACCGGCCACAUUGGGACUGAGAUACGGCCCAG